Molecule: long non-coding RNA, 1081 nt
Organism: Pseudophryne corroboree (corroboree frog)
Lineage: Eukaryota; Metazoa; Chordata; Amphibia; Anura; Myobatrachidae
Exons: 3
Source: RefSeq, a predicted model, not a curated record
GGCCUGGCAUGGCAUAGCACACUGGUAGAAGCUCUCCCCUCUCCUUCGUGUUCCGCCGGCUCCUUCCUCCCAGGCAGCAGCAUAACCAGAUCGGGGACUCCUGCCGGCUCCUUCCUCCCAGGCAGCAGCAUAACCAGGUACCCCUAUUGGAUUCUACAUUAACAAGUGGACGUGAUCGGCGUGUGAUGUAGGUAAGUAUGUGUGAGUGUGUAAGUGUGUUUUAAUAAAUUUUUACUUUCACGGUGUGUGUGUUGUGUUUUUAGUUGGGUAUUUUUGUUAUUUCCCCGCAUGCUGCUACUUGAGGUUCUCCAAGUACCAGCAAGCGGGGGAGGCUUGCUGGGCCUUGUAGUUCCAUAACAAAAACAAUAUUCAUUUGUUUGACACAUGUGUCAAACAAAUGAAUAGGCUAUCAGCCCAGCACCCACCACCCAGGGGUGCUGGGGACAGCCUCGGGCUUCAACCCUGGCCCUUGGGUGCCUGGAGAGGGGGACCCCUUGAUUUAAGGGGUCCCCACUCCUCCAGGGAACCCCAGCCAGGGGUGACUAGUUGGGGGAUAAUGCCACAGCUGCAGGGACCUACAUAAAUGUGUCCACCGGCUAUGUCAUUAUCUCCAUGGCUAGUGGAUAAAUAGGUAAAAAUAGCACAUUUGAGGCGACAGAAGGGAUGACUGGGUUAGGCAAGGUUAGUGGGUGGGCAGGUGGUCUGGGCAAACUCUGCAUAGUCUCUUAAUGCCUAGAGGGACGGGCAGUCCUUCAGCCAUGGGUCCCCAGAGGUUUCCUCCACAAGGGGGUUUUUCCUCUCCUGAGUGCUGAAGGAUGACUCUUCAUGAGUCAUGAGGCUCCCGCCAUCUUGUUCCUCUUAUAGGACAAGUUUGUAAGAUUACUGGACCAAUCUUAGUCCGAAAUUACCUAUUUUAGAAUGCAGAGUAAAUAAUAAUAUGAAUAAUUACAAAAUAAUAAUCAUCAUCAUCAUCAUCAUCAUUACCAUCAGAAGAAGAAGAAGAAGAAGAAGAAGUGGCUAAAUUUUACGUAAAAUAAAAAUAGACAUUUAUUUUUUAAAUAUAUUUUGCUUGAAGUUGUCU